RNAcentral lists this ribosomal RNA (729 nucleotides) under uncultured Anoxybacillus sp. Its description in RNAcentral is "bacterial SSU rRNA". It matches the Rfam family "Bacterial small subunit ribosomal RNA", at positions 135 to 849 of the family's 1533-position model. Lineage: Bacteria; Bacillati; Bacillota; Bacilli; Caryophanales; Anoxybacillaceae. The record is from RNAcentral.
GGACCGGGAUAACACCGAGAAAUCGGAGCUAAUACCGGAUAAUAUGGAAUGCCGCAUGAUUUUUCUUUGAAAGGUGGUUCAAGCUGUCACUACUGGAUGGGCCCGCGGCGCAUUACCUGGUGGGUGAGGCAACGGCUCACCAAGGCAACCAUGCCUAUCCGACCUGAGAGGGUGAUCGGCCUCCCUGGGACUGACACACUGCCCACACUCCUACGGGAGGCAGCAGUAGGGAAUCUUCCGCAAUGGACGAAAGUCUGACCGACCAACGCCUCGUGAGCGAAGAAGGCCUUCGGGUCGAAAAGCUCUGUUGUUAGGGAAGAACAAGUAGCGCUCUAACGGGCGUUACUUUGACGGUACCUAAUGAGGAAGCCACGGCUAACUACGUGCCAGCUGCCGCGGUAAUACGUAGGUGGCAAGCGUUGUCCGGAAUUAUUGGGCGUAAUGUGCGCUUUGGCGGUUCCUUGAGUCUGAUGUGAAAGCCCACGGCUCAACCGUGGAGGGUCAUUGGAACUGGGGGACUUGAGUGCAGAAGAAGAUAGCGGAAUUCCACGUGUAUCGGUGAAAUGCUUAGAGAUGUGCAGGAACACCAGUGGCGAAUCGCGGCUCUCUGUUCUGCUACUGACGCUGAGGCGCGAUAGCGUGGUGAGCUAACUUGAUUAGAUACCCUGGUUGUCCACGCCGAAAGCUAUGAGUGCUAAGUGUUCCAGGCUAUCCACCCUUUACUGCUGU